CAGCAGCCGCGGUAACACGGAGGGUGCAAGCGUUAAUCGGAAUUACUGGGCGUAAAGCGCACGCAGGCGGUCUGACAAGUCAGAUGUGAAAUCCCCGGGCUUAACCUGGGAACUGCAUUUGAAACUGUCAGGCUGGAGUCUUGUAGAGGGGGGUGGAAUUCCAGGUGUAGCGGUGAAAUGCGUAGAGAUCUGGAGGAAUACCGGUGGCGAAGGCGGCCCCCUGGACAAAGACUGACGCUCAGGUGCGAAAGCGUGGGGAGCAAACAGGAUUAGAUACCCGAGUAGUCCCUGUCUCUUAUAC
RNAcentral lists this ribosomal RNA (301 nucleotides) under uncultured bacterium. RNAcentral's name for it is "partial 16S ribosomal RNA". It matches the Rfam family "Bacterial small subunit ribosomal RNA", at positions 509 to 807 of the family's 1533-position model. The record is from RNAcentral.